AGCUUUGCGCAGUGGCAGUAUCAUAGCCAAUGAGGUUUAUCCGAGGCGCGAUUAUUGCUAAUUGAAAACAAAUUUUUUUAUUUUUCAAUAUAUGUUUUUCAAGGAACAAUCCGGUAUUUGGCUUGUUUUACUGAUGUUCAAACAU
This is a small nuclear RNA of Fukomys damarensis (Damara mole-rat), 145 nucleotides long. Its record names the gene U4. It matches the Rfam family "U4 spliceosomal RNA". Rfam says of the family: U4 small nuclear RNA (U4 snRNA) is a component of the major U2-dependent spliceosome. The structure of U4 snRNA from yeast and human has been reported. NCBI's taxonomy places the organism in Eukaryota, Metazoa, Chordata, Mammalia, Rodentia, Bathyergidae. The record is from Ensembl.